Molecule: RNase P RNA, 419 nt
Filed under: Candidatus Omnitrophota bacterium
Lineage: Bacteria; Pseudomonadati; Candidatus Omnitrophota
Description: RNase P RNA component class A
Rfam family: Bacterial RNase P class A
About the family: Ribonuclease P (RNase P) is a ubiquitous endoribonuclease, found in archaea, bacteria and eukarya as well as chloroplasts and mitochondria.
Source: RNAcentral
UAAGAGAUGAUCGCUCUCGCCAAACGGCGCGGCGGGCUUGCCCGCCGUGAUUUGUGGCGGGGGAGGAAAGUCCGAGCUCCAAAGAGCGUAGCGCUCCGUAAUUCGGAGGCCCGUUUGUCGAAAGAUAAACGGGACGGAAAGUGCCACAGAAAAUAAACAGCCUGGCCAAGGAAACUUGCCCGGUGAAGGUGAAACGGCGGCUUAAGAGACCACCGGUCCCAAGGCAACGCGGGACGCAUGGCAAACCCCGCUUGGAGAAAGACCAAAUAAAAGACAUAGGCUCGCCUUAAAAAUACAUCGAGCCUGGGAAUGACUCGUUCCCCAAGUCUUGGGUUGGUCGCAUGAGACGUCCGCGAGAGCGGCGUUCAAGACAGAUGAUCAUCACCCGAAAGGGGACAGAACUCGGCUUAACUUGGGGC